Molecule: small RNA, 123 nt
Filed under: Marmota monax (woodchuck)
Lineage: Eukaryota; Metazoa; Chordata; Mammalia; Rodentia; Sciuridae
Source: RNAcentral
GCUGGGUGUGGUGGCACAUGCCUGCAAUCCCAGGUGCUGGAAGCCGAGGUAGGAGGAUCAAGAGUUCAAAGCUAGCCUCAGCAACAAUAAGGCGCUGAGCAACUCAGUGAGACCCUGUCUCUA